AAAUUGAAACACUGAACAACGAAAGUUGUUCGUGAGUCUCUCAAAUUUUCGCAACACGAUGAUGAAUCGAAAGAAACAUCUUCGGGUUGUGAGGUUAAGCGACUAAGCGUACACGGUGGAUGCCCUGGCAGUCAGAGGCGAUGAAGGACGUGCUAAUCUGCGAUAAGCGUCGGUAAGGUGAUAUGAACCGUUAUAACCGGCGAUUUCCGAAUGGGGAAACCCAGUGUGUUUCGACACACUAUCAUUAACUGAAUCCAUAGGUUAAUGAGGCGAACCGGGGGAACUGAAACAUCUAAGUACCCCGAGGAAAAGAAAUCAACCGAGAUUCCCCCAGUAGCGGCGAGCGAACGGGGAGCAGCCCAGAGCCUGAAUCAGUGUGUGUGUUAGUGGAAGCGUCUGGAAAGGCGCGCGAUACAGGGUGACAGCCCCGUACACAAAAAUGCACAUGCUGUGAGCUCGAUGAGUAGGGCGGGACACGUGGUAUCCUGUCUGAAUAUGGGGGGACCAUCCUCCAAGGCUAAAUACUCCUGACUGACCGAUAGUGAACCAGUACCGUGAGGGAAAGGCGAAAAGAACCCCGGCGAGGGGAGUGAAAAAGAACCUGAAACCGUGUACGUACAAGCAGUGGGAGCACGCUUAGGCGUGUGACUGCGUACCUUUUGUAUAAUGGGUCAGCGACUUAUAUUCUGUAGCAAGGUUAACCGAAUAGGGGAGCCGAAGGGAAACCGAGUCUUAACUGGGCGUUAAGUUGCAGGGUAUAGACCCGAAACCCGGUGAUCUAGCCAUGGGCAGGUUGAAGGUUGGGUAACACUAACUGGAGGACCGAACCGACUAAUGUUGAAAAAUUAGCGGAUGACUUGUGGCUGGGGGUGAAAGGCCAAUCAAACCGGGAGAUAGCUGGUUCUCCCCGAAAGCUAUUUAGGUAGCGCCUCGUGAAUUCAUCUCCGGGGGUAGAGCACUGUUUCGGCAAGGGGGUCAUCCCGACUUACCAACCCGAUGCAAACUGCGAAUACCGGAGAAUGUUAUCACGGGAGACACACGGCGGGUGCUAACGUCCGUCGUGAAGAGGGAAACAACCCAGACCGCCAGCUAAGGUCCCAAAGUCAUGGUUAAGUGGGAAACGAUGUGGGAAGGCCCAGACAGCCAGGAUGUUGGCUUAGAAGCAGCCAUCAUUUAAAGAAAGCGUAAUAGCUCACUGGUCGAGUCGGCCUGCGCGGAAGAUGUAACGGGGCUAAACCAUGCACCGAAGCUGCGGCAGCGACGCUUAUGCGUUGUUGGGUAGGGGAGCGUUCUGUAAGCCUGCGAAGGUGUGCUGUGAGGCAUGCUGGAGGUAUCAGAAGUGCGAAUGCUGACAUAAGUAACGAUAAAGCGGGUGAAAAGCCCGCUCGCCGGAAGACCAAGGGUUCCUGUCCAACGUUAAUCGGGGCAGGGUGAGUCGACCCCUAAGGCGAGGCCGAAAGGCGUAGUCGAUGGGAAACAGGUUAAUAUUCCUGUACUUGGUGUUACUGCGAAGGGGGGACGGAGAAGGCUAUGUUGGCCGGGCGACGGUUGUCCCGGUUUAAGCGUGUAGGCUGGGUUUCCAGGCAAAUCCGGAAAAUAAAGGCUGAGGCGUGAUGACGAGGCACUACGGUGCUGAAGCAACAAAUGCCCUGCUUCCAGGAAAAGCCUCUAAGCAUCAGGUAACAUCAAAUCGUACCCCAAACCGACACAGGUGGUCAGGUAGAGAAUACCAAGGCGCUUGAGAGAACUCGGGUGAAGGAACUAGGCAAAAUGGUGCCGUAACUUCGGGAGAAGGCACGCUGAUAUGUAGGUGAAGCCACUCGCGCAUGGAGCUGAAAUCAGUCGAAGAUACCAGCUGGCUGCAACUGUUUAUUAAAAACACAGCACUGUGCAAACACGAAAGUGGACGUAUACGGUGUGACGCCUGCCCGGUGCCGGAAGGUUAAUUGAUGGGGUCAGCGCAAGCGAAGCUCUUGAUCGAAGCCCCGGUAAACGGCGGCCGUAACUAUAACGGUCCUAAGGUAGCGAAAUUCCUUGUCGGGUAAGUUCCGACCUGCACGAAUGGCGUAAUGAUGGCCAGGCUGUCUCCACCCGAGACUCAGUGAAAUUGAACUCGCUGUGAAGAUGCAGUGUACCCGCGGCAAGACGGAAAGACCCCGUGAACCUUUACUAUAGCUUGACACUGAACAUUGAGCCUUGAUGUGUAGGAUAGGUGGGAGGCUUUGAAGUGUGGACGCCAGUCUGCAUGGAGCCGACCUUGAAAUACCACCCUUUAAUGUUUGAUGUUCUAACGUGGACCCGUGAUCCGGGUUGCGGACAGUGUCUGGUGGGUAGUUUGACUGGGGCGGUCUCCUCCUAAAGAGUAACGGAGGAGCACGAAGGUUGGCUAAUCCUGGUCGGACAUCAGGAGGUUAGUGCAAUGGCAUAAGCCAGCUUGACUGCGAGCGUGACGGCGCGAGCAGGUGCGAAAGCAGGUCAUAGUGAUCCGGUGGUUCUGAAUGGAAGGGCCAUCGCUCAACGGAUAAAAGGUACUCCGGGGAUAACAGGCUGAUACCGCCCAAGAGUUCAUAUCGACGGCGGUGUUUGGCACCUCGAUGUCGGCUCAUCACAUCCUGGAGCUGAAGUAGGUCCCAAGGGUAUGGCUGUUCGCCAUUUAAAGUGGUACGCGAGCUGGGUUUAGAACGUCGUGAGACAGUUCGGUCCCUAUCUGCCGUGGGCGCUGGAGAACUGAGGGGGGCUGCUCCUAGUACGAGAGGACCGGAGUGGACGCAUCACUGGUGUUCGGGUUGUCAUGCCAAUGGCACUGCCCGGUAGCUAAAUGCGGAAGAGAUAAGUGCUGAAAGCAUCUAAGCACGAAACUUGCCCCGAGAUGAGUUCUCCCUGACUCCUUGAGAGUCCUGAAGGAACGUUGAAGACGACGACGUUGAUAGGCCGGGUGUGUAAGCGCAGCGAUGCGUUGAGCUAACCGGUACUAAUGAACCGUGAGGCUUAACCUU
Molecule: ribosomal RNA, 2996 nt
Filed under: Escherichia coli K-12
Lineage: Bacteria; Pseudomonadati; Pseudomonadota; Gammaproteobacteria; Enterobacterales; Enterobacteriaceae
Description: bacterial LSU rRNA
Rfam family: Bacterial large subunit ribosomal RNA
Source: RNAcentral